UUUUUAUUUGGAAACACAUUU
Molecule: non-coding RNA, 21 nt
Filed under: Caenorhabditis elegans
Lineage: Eukaryota; Metazoa; Nematoda; Chromadorea; Rhabditida; Rhabditidae
Source: RNAcentral